Molecule: ribosomal RNA, 253 nt
Filed under: uncultured bacterium
Lineage: Bacteria
Description: partial 16S ribosomal RNA
Rfam family: Bacterial small subunit ribosomal RNA
Source: RNAcentral
UACGGAGGGUGCAAACGUUGCUCGGAAUCAUUGGGCGUAAAGCGCACGUAGGCGGCCUGAUAAGUCGGGUGUGAAAGCCCUGGGCUCAACCCAGGAAGUGCACUCGAAACUGUCAGGCUUGAAUAUGGAAGAGGGUCGCGGAAUUCCCGGUGUAGAGGUGAGAUUCGUAGAUAUCGGGAGGAACACCAGUGGCGAAGGCGGCGACCUGGGCCAAUAUUGACGCUGAGGUGCGAAAGCGUGGGGAGCAAACAGG